UUACCUACGGGAGGCAGCAGUGGGGAAUAUUGGGCAAUGGACGCAAGUCUGACCCAGCAACGCCGCGUGAAGGAAGAAGGCUUUCGGGUUGUAAACUUCUUUUAAGGGGGAAGAGCAGAAGACGGUACCCCUUGAAUAAGCCACGGCUAACUACGUGCCAGCAGCCGCGGUAAUACGUAGGCGGCAAGCGUUGUCCGGAUUUACUGGGUGUAAAGGGCGGGCAGCCGGAGAGACAAGUCAGAUGUGAAAUCCACGGGCUCAACCCGAGAACUGCAUUUGAAACGGGUUCCCUUGAGUGUCGGAGG
This 305-nucleotide ribosomal RNA is filed under the name uncultured bacterium. RNAcentral describes it as "bacterial SSU rRNA". It matches the Rfam family "Bacterial small subunit ribosomal RNA", at positions 335 to 655 of the family's 1533-position model. The record is from RNAcentral.